Molecule: ribosomal RNA, 703 nt
Filed under: Escherichia coli
Lineage: Bacteria; Pseudomonadati; Pseudomonadota; Gammaproteobacteria; Enterobacterales; Enterobacteriaceae
Description: partial 23S ribosomal RNA
Rfam family: Bacterial large subunit ribosomal RNA
Source: RNAcentral
CGGCGAGGGGAGUGAAAAAGAACCUGAAACCGUGUACGUACAAGCAGUGGGAGCACGCUUAGGCGUGUGACUGCGUACCUUUUGUAUAAUGGGUCAGCGACUUAUAUUCUGUAGCAAGGUUAACCGAAUAGGGGAGCCGAAGGGAAACCGAGUCUUAACUGGGCGUUAAGUUGCAGGGUAUAGACCCGAAACCCGGUGAUCUAGCCAUGGGCAGGUUGAAGGUUGGGUAACACUAACUGGAGGACCGAACCGACUAAUGUUGAAAAAUUAGCGGAUGACUUGUGGCUGGGGGUGAAAGGCCAAUCAAACCGGGAGAUAGCUGGUUCUCCCCGAAAGCUAUUUAGGUAGCGCCUCGUGAAUUCAUCUCCGGGGGUAGAGCACUGUUUCGGCAAGGGGGUCAUCCCGACUUACCAACCCGAUGCAAACUGCGAAUACCGGAGAAUGUUAUCACGGGAGACACACGGCGGGUGCUAACGUCCGUCGUGAAGAGGGAAACAACCCAGACCGCCAGCUAAGGUCCCAAAGUCAUGGUUAAGUGGGAAACGAUGUGGGAAGGCCCAGACAGCCAGGAUGUUGGCUUAGAAGCAGCCAUCAUUUAAAGAAAGCGUAAUAGCUCACUGGUCGAGUCGGCCUGCGCGGAAGAUGUAACGGGGCUAAACCAUGCACCGAAGCUGCGGCAGCGACGCUGAUGCGUUGUUGGGUA